Molecule: transfer RNA, 69 nt
Filed under: Galemys pyrenaicus
Lineage: Eukaryota; Metazoa; Chordata; Mammalia; Eulipotyphla; Talpidae
Description: tRNA-His
Rfam family: tRNA
About the family: Transfer RNA (tRNA) molecules are approximately 80 nucleotides in length. Their secondary structure includes four short double-helical elements and three loops (D, anti-codon, and T loops). Further hydrogen bonds mediate the characteristic L-shaped molecular structure. tRNAs have two regions of fundamental functional importance: the anti-codon, which is responsible for specific mRNA codon recognition, and the 3' end, to which the tRNAs corresponding amino acid is attached (by aminoacyl-tRNA synthetases). tRNAs cope with the degeneracy of the genetic code in two manners: having more than one tRNA (with a specific anti-codon) for a particular amino acid; and 'wobble' base-pairing, i.e. permitting non-standard base-pairing at the 3rd anti-codon position.
Source: RNAcentral
GUAAAUAUAGUUUAACCAAAACAUUAGAUUGUGAAUCUAAAGAUAGAAGGUUCAAUCUUCUUAUUUACC